AGACCGAUAGCGAACAAGUAGAGUGAUCGAAAGAUGAAAAGUACUUUGGAAAGAGAGUUAAAAAGCACGUGAAAUUGUUGAAAGGGAAGCGCCUGCAAUCAGACUUCGCGGCAGUGUUCCGCCGGUCUUCUGACCGGUUUAUUCUCUGUCGCGAGGCCAUCAUCGUCUCGGCCCGCUGGAUAAGACCUUGGGAAUGUAGCUCACCUUCGGGGGAGUGUUAUAGCUCAUGGUGAUGCAGCGAGGCUGGGGCGAGGUCCGCGCUUCGGCAAGGAUGAUGGCGUAAUGGUUGUCGGCGGCCCGUCUUGAAACACGGACCAAG
Molecule: ribosomal RNA, 319 nt
Filed under: Sphaerulina berberidis
Lineage: Eukaryota; Fungi; Ascomycota; Dothideomycetes; Mycosphaerellales; Mycosphaerellaceae
Description: eukaryotic LSU rRNA
Rfam family: Eukaryotic large subunit ribosomal RNA
Source: RNAcentral